This 447-nucleotide ribosomal RNA is filed under the name uncultured bacterium. Its description in RNAcentral is "bacterial SSU rRNA". It matches the Rfam family "Bacterial small subunit ribosomal RNA", at positions 355 to 825 of the family's 1533-position model. The record is from RNAcentral.
UGGGGAAUUUUGGGCAAUGGGCGAAAGCCUGACCCAGCAACGCCGCGUGAAGGAUGAAGUAUUUCGGUAUGUAAACUUCGUAAGAAUAGGAAGAAUAAAUGACGGUACUAUUUGUAAGGUCCGGCUAACUACGUGCCAGCAGCCGCGGUAAUACGUAGGGUGCAAGCGUUAAUCGGAAUUACUGGGCGUAAAGCGUGCGCAGGCGGUUCUAUAAGACAGAUGUGAAAUCCCCGGGCUCAACCUGGGAAUGGCAUUUGUGACUGUAGAGCUAGAGUACGGUAGAGGGGGAUGGAAUUCCGCGUGUAGCAGUGAAAUGCGUAGAUAUGCGGAGGAACACCGAUGGCGAAGGCAAUCCCCUGGACCUGUACUGACGCUCAUGCACGAAAGCGUGGGGAGCAAACAGGAUUAGAUACCCCAGUAGUCCCUGAGCGGGCUGGCAAGGCGCAU